This 1206-nucleotide ribosomal RNA is filed under the name Bacillus sp. (in: firmicutes). RNAcentral's name for it is "bacterial SSU rRNA". It matches the Rfam family "Bacterial small subunit ribosomal RNA", at positions 78 to 1269 of the family's 1533-position model. The record is from RNAcentral. Lineage: Bacteria; Bacillati; Bacillota; Bacilli; Caryophanales; Bacillaceae.
GCUUGCUCCCGGAUGUUAGCGGCGGACGGGUGAGUAACACGUGGGUAACCUGCCUGUAAGACUGGGAUAACUCCGGGAAACCGGAGCUAAUACCGGAUAGUUCCUUGAACCGCAUGGUUCAAGGAUGAAAGACGGUUUCGGCUGUCACUUACAGAUGGACCCGCGGCGCAUUAGCUAGUUGGUGGGGUAAUGGCUCACCAAGGCGACGAUGCGUAGCCGACCUGAGAGGGUGAUCGGCCACACUGGGACUGAGACACGGCCCAGACUCCUACGGGAGGCAGCAGUAGGGAAUCUUCCGCAAUGGACGAAAGUCUGACGGAGCAACGCCGCGUGAGUGAUGAAGGUUUUCGGAUCGUAAAGCUCUGUUGUUAGGGAAGAACAAGUGCGAGAGUAACUGCUCGCACCUUGACGGUACCUAACCAGAAAGCCACGGCUAACUACGUGCCAGCAGCCGCGGUAAUACGUAGGUGGCAAGCGUUGUCCGGAAUUAUUGGGCGUAAAGGGCUCGCAGGCGGUUUCUUAAGUCUGAUGUGAAAGCCCCCGGCUCAACCGGGGAGGGUCAUUGGAAACUGGGAAACUUGAGUGCAGAAGAGGAGAGUGGAAUUCCACGUGUAGCGGUGAAAUGCGUAGAGAUGUGGAGGAACACCAGUGGCGAAGGCGACUCUCUGGUCUGUAACUGACGCUGAGGAGCGAAAGCGUGGGGAGCGAACAGGAUUAGAUACCCUGGUAGUCCACGCCGUAAACGAUGAGUGCUAAGUGUUAGGGGGUUUCCGCCCCUUAGUGCUGCAGCUAACGCAUUAAGCACUCCGCCUGGGGAGUACGGUCGCAAGACUGAAACUCAAAGGAAUUGACGGGGGCCCGCACAAGCGGUGGAGCAUGUGGUUUAAUUCGAAGCAACGCGAAGAACCUUACCAGGUCUUGACAUCCUCUGACAACCCUAGAGAUAGGGCUUUCCCUUCGGGGACAGAGUGACAGGUGGUGCAUGGUUGUCGUCAGCUCGUGUCGUGAGAUGUUGGGUUAAGUCCCGCAACGAGCGCAACCCUUGAUCUUAGUUGCCAGCAUUCAGUUGGGCACUCUAAGGUGACUGCCGGUGACAAACCGGAGGAAGGGGGGGAUGACGUCAAAUCAUCAUGCCCCUUAUGACCUGGGCUACACACGUGCUACAAUGGACAGAAACAAAGGGCUGCAAGACCGCAAGGUUUAGCC